RNAcentral lists this ribosomal RNA (301 nucleotides) under Climacostomum virens. RNAcentral's name for it is "partial Eukaryotic small subunit ribosomal RNA". It matches the Rfam family "Eukaryotic small subunit ribosomal RNA", at positions 1417 to 1721 of the family's 1831-position model. Lineage: Eukaryota; Ciliophora; Heterotrichea; Heterotrichida; Climacostomidae. The record is from RNAcentral.
GGACUUUUCGCUUUUAGCGGAAGGAAGUUUGAGGCAAUAACAGGUCUGUGAUGCCCUUAGAUGUCCUGCGCCGCACGCGCGCUACAAUGACCAGUUCAAUCGGUACUUCCUUGGUCGAGAGGCCUGGGUAAUCCUAGAACUCUGGUCGUGAUGGGGCUAGAUUAUUGCAAUUAUUAAUCUUCAACGAGGAAUGCCUAGUAAACGCAAGUCAUCAUCUUGCAUUGAAUACAUCCCUGCCCUUUGUACACACCGCCCGUCGCAUCUACCGAUGAAUUUUGCGGUGAAGUCUUGGGAGCCUAUU